Podarcis lilfordi (Lilford's wall lizard) is the source of this 69-nucleotide non-coding RNA. Lineage: Eukaryota; Metazoa; Chordata; Lepidosauria; Squamata; Lacertidae. The record is from the annotation of a GenBank genome assembly.
GCCGUGGCUCACUUGCAGAGCAUCUGCUUUGCAUGCAGAAGGUCCCAGGUUCAAUCCCCGGCAUCUUCA